Arvicanthis niloticus (Nile rat) is the source of this 324-nucleotide non-coding RNA. The record is from RefSeq and is a predicted model, not a curated record. NCBI's taxonomy places the organism in Eukaryota, Metazoa, Chordata, Mammalia, Rodentia, Muridae.
CCUUUAGCCCAGGGCUGAUGUCAUCUGCAGCAAAUCAUUUCGCCGGCGGCCCGGAAGCUGGAAGGACGAGGGGUCUGCAACGAGCUUGCUGCAGAGACUUGGUCACAACUGACCAAGUUUAAAUAGGACAUCCAGUUUACUCUUAGGAAAGGACAUCAGGAUGAUCCGUGGUGGAGGUGAGGAGGUGAAGAGCAUCCUUCUGGAGAUCAGCCAUCAGAAUGGCUUCAUCUAAUUGUUGGAUAAAAGAUGCAAGAAGCCAGUGAGAUGAAGGUACUUGCUGCCAAGCCUGGGGACGUACGAAGUUCAAUCCCAGAACCCACACAA